Molecule: ribosomal RNA, 273 nt
Filed under: uncultured bacterium
Lineage: Bacteria
Description: partial 16S ribosomal RNA
Rfam family: Bacterial small subunit ribosomal RNA
Source: RNAcentral
UACGUAGGUGGCAAGCGUUGUCCGGAUUUACUGGGCGUAAAGAGCGCGCAGGCGGUCGAUUAAGUCGAAUGUGAAAGCCCCCGGCUUAACUGGGGAGGGUCAUUCGAUACUGCUCGACUUGAAGGCAGGAGAGGGAAGUGGAAUUCCCGGUGUAGUGGUGAAAUGCGUAGAUAUCGGGAGGAACACCAGUGGCGAAGGCGACUUCCUGGCCUGUUCUUGACGCUGAGGCGCGAAAGCUGGGGGAGCAAACGGGAUUAGAAACCCUCGUAGUCC